GGAAGGAGCUGCCUGUGAGAGCUGGGGCUGCUUGGGAUUUCCAGCCAGUUUGUUAAGGGUGAGGGUUUCCUGUUUGUCUCCCUGUGUCCCUGGUUUCAUCAUCACAGCCAAGUGUAGCAGCUGCCAGUGCUGCCAGGAAGUCCUCAGCGGGGCUGCAGCUUCAGAGUGGCGGAGGCACUGCAGGCGGAUCCCACUCCUCCAGGGCCUGUCUGGAGGGAUAUGGGAGCCAUCCAGUUCUGUGGACACUACAGGUAACAAAAAGUUUGGAAGAACCGCUGCUUAGAAGAUUUCGCAUUAGAUGAAUUGGAAUGAUUAAAUAAACAUAAAAUCUUAUACUGGAAUCCAAGCAACCUAAACACACCCUAGAUAUAUUAACAUCCAAUGCUGAAUUCCGAAAGAGAAAUGAUCAUGGUGCAUUGAGAGAACUUGUAGCUGGAAGCAAUUCAGUGUGGGCCUGACCUCACCACAGGACUGCACCUGCUGUCACCUAGUGCAAAAUUAUAAGGUCUCCAAAUAAGAACCUCUUCCUGAGUGUCUAUUUUAUAAGGAGCUACUAGACUUAAGGCAUCACACAAUGAACUCACUUUAGUUUUUAGAGACUUUUCAAUUUCAUUCGAGGGAACUUUUUAUGUCACCAACAAAAGAUUUAGGCAUUUUUCAGUAUAAAUAUCAAAAAUUAUGUCAUGACCUGCAUUUAAAAUAACUAUCAGUCUGUCAUUCUGAACACACUUUUCCCCACAAUGACCCUGGCGAAUCUCAGGGUUCCUGACCUACCACAACCUGGGACGUAACCUGGCUGAUUCUCUGACCUAAGAGGCAUUGAGUUCUCACCUACUUAUCUCUUGAUAGAUUUCUCUGCAAUUGGUGUCAGCUACUGACUAACACACACCACAACCCAUAACCUCUAAGCCACCACUGAUUAUACUGAACUUUCACCUUGAUUCAUGAAAACACAAACGAAAAAGAAAACAUUUAAAACAGAUUAUAGGCAUUUAACCUCUAAUGUAAGCAGUAAUAUAAUAGCUUCUUGAAAAUCUGCUUUUGUUCUAUCCUGGAUUUCAUUAAUGUAGUCUCCUACUUGACAAGGGUAGACAGAUAUUUCCAGUUAUUCUAUGAAUUUUGUACAUGAAGCUUGUAACAGUCUAAGUUUGGGCACCCUGUUCCACUGCCAAAAAGUAAAGAGACAACAUCUAUUUUAUACAAGGACUCACAUACUUAAUCCUGGCCAGUCUCCAAGAAGUUAGAAUUUUGUUCAUAGUGGUUACUUCUGUCUCUAUUUUCGAUAUUCCCCAUUGGGUUGAACAUGACUAAUUUCCUUUUCUCCAUAUCCCAGAGUGUGGACAAAAUAGGCAAAUGAGGUUUGAAAAUAAAGUGAUACUAGAAAUAGAAUCCAAGAAGGAAAUUCUAUGAUCAAUUUACUUGAACCAUUAAAAAGUAUGUUUCAAUUUUAACUACACAUUCUCUCCAGGUAAAAUUGAGGGAAUUAGAUUUAGUGUCAUUACACUGGCAAAGGGGACAUAUUUGGUAAUUGUUUAGGAAUAGAAGACAGUCUCCUUCCUACAAAUCUCCGAAAAUAUUGUCAAGCAUGAGGAAAAUCAAACCAAAACAAUGUUGCAAAGAUAUCUUAGUGUUGUGAUUGCUUAAAAAAUAUAUACACUGCAUUCAUUAUUCAGAAUUGUGUCUGUUCCAUUC
Heterocephalus glaber (naked mole-rat) is the source of this 1692-nucleotide long non-coding RNA. The record is from Ensembl. Lineage: Eukaryota; Metazoa; Chordata; Mammalia; Rodentia; Bathyergidae.